AUGAAGUCACUUAUGACUACCAUGCACCUAGGAAUGGUGAUACCACAAGAUAUCCUAGAAGAACUUUCAGGCCAGAGUUUGGUGAUAUCUUACUGUUUUUUUAUGCAAGGAAGAGCCCUGGUAUGUGACACAAAAUUAUGUGAGUUAAUUCUGCUUUGGGGAAAUCACAUAAGAAGCUGAUUUUUCAGGUAGUGAGUCAAAUGAAGACCUAUCCAUCCAUCCAUCAUUGUUUUGAGCAAAAAAGUAGACAGUUUUGAAAGCAAGGUGUUGUCUUCUGAGAAAGCACCAACUGGAGUGGGUAGUGGGGUGUUGGCCAGGACACUGCCCGACAUCAAGAUGCUGACUUUGUGUUCCUGGACCAAAUUGGCAGCAGGGACCCCAGGGGGUGCCAUUCUGAAACUGGUGUGUGUAUGUUUCUAAAGAUAACUUUAUCAUGUUACUCAGAAUGUGCUUAAAUUAAUCUCGGGUAUAUGGGAAGCAGCCAGCCCGGUGAUCUAGUGGUUAAGAUUCAGCGCUCUCACCCUGCAGUCUGGGGUUCGUUUCCAGGUCAGGGAACCACGCCACUUGUCUGUCAGUUGUCAUACUGUGGCAGCUGCAUGUUGCUGGGAUGCUGAAAGCUAUGCCGCCGGUUUUCAAACACCAGCAGGGUCACCCAUGGUGGACAGGUUUCAGCAGAGCUUCCAGACUAAGACAGACUAGGAAAAAGGACCUGGCCAGCCGCUUCUGAAAAAAGUUGAUUGUGAAAGCCCUGUGAAGGGCAGUGGAGCAUUGUCAAAUACAGAGCUGGAAGGUGAAAGGAUGGAGCCAAUAAAGACUGGGUAGGCUCACUAGGAGUCAGAGUCGACUCCACAGCACACUCAGAAAAAAAAUGUGGAAAGUAGGUAGACUGGAUUAUGAUUUUACAGCUUAAGCUUUUUUAAUUGGAAGAAAGAGGUAAAGAGGGGAAAUAGAGAAAAGAAGUCUUUUAGAAAUUUAGAACCACUUUUGUUUUCUGAUUCAACCUCCCGACCACAUUAUACAGAUGAAGAAUUUGAGGCUCAGGGAGGGGAAUUAGCCCUGUAGGGUUGGAUGGACGUGCACUCAUAUUUUUAUCCUAAAUGCCUACCUCUUUGCACUCUGCUAUCACAGCCUUCGCAAGUCUUCUCUAACAGCAGAAACUUCAGGAGAAAGCAGGCCGUUUUUGCAAUAAGAGGGCUUAGAGAGAGAUGCCUUUACUAGAUUUUCCCAAAGGAAGGAAGCUUUCUGCUGCUUGAUGUUAGGACUGGUCGUCCAGCUUGCUUUGUUUGGAAGUCAGGCCUAAACAAAAGAACCCGAAGGUGGGGCUCCUCCGUUGGAAGUCUGUCACCAGUACCAAGUGGGCACGCUGCAAUCUGUGUGCUUCCUUUCAGCCCUUGAACCUCAUGCCUUAUCUGCAUGCACUGGAGUAGCUGCACUUUUCUUCUUGUUCACCAUGACCCCUCUAGCGACCACACCCUCCCUGCCUUUCAGACUGUUUUCCUUCUUCUUCCUUUUGGAGUUUAUCAGGGUGUCAGCCUGCUGGCGAGGUUUCAGGGAUCAGUGGAGAAAGUGGAAUUAGACGGGAAAAAGUCACAAAUGCAAAUACUAUAGCUGUAAAAGUUUCUCUUCUGUUCUUUGCAUUACCACUUCAUUUGUGGCCAUUUUUAUUGAAAAUUAAAAUAUACUUCCUUCUGGAAAUGCUGUAAUAAUAAUAUCUACCUUUCAGGAACAGAAGAAAUAGAUUAUUCAGAGGGAUCUGACAGCUGGUAUGUGCUGAUGCAAAAAAGAGGAAACCAGACUUUUUAAUCUCCAUUUUCUUUGUUUAUCAUACUAGAAAGCUUUGUUCUCUUUCCAAGUUCACAGGCUUGUGUCCCAACCUUUGAGGACAGAGGGUACAUGCUCACUUGUUCCAGAUUUCACAGUGAAUUUUCCUACAGUGUCAGAAUGAGACCAAAACAGCCACAGGAAAGGUGAAAAUUAGAGAAAAACACUGUGAGCAGAAAGAUCUUCUGUUAAGAUCUGUUCUUCGGCAGGAUAUCAUGCAUCUAAAUUAAUAUCACAGUGAACUAAUACCAGCUAAUAGCAUGUUCACCAUCCACCUCCCCAGUUUUCUGUGGCCCUAACAAGAGUCAAUCUCUACAUUUCAUACUUAGAAGAUAACUUGGCCUCUGCCUCUGAGAAAGAGAAAACUAGGUGCCUCAGCAUUGUCUUUGGUGGAUAAGUGGUAAACAUUAGAAAUAAUCUCGUAUUCUUCACCAUUGUGUCCCUAGGUCCUAGCCCCAGUGGCUGCCAUUAACUAGAAGCUCAAUAAAGAUUUGUGGAAUAAAUGACUAGCUAUUCAAAAGCCCUCAAAACUACCUUUGCAGUUGAACUAGAACAAUUCUAAUACUUUAAAUCUUAAACCAUUAUGAAUGUGAUGUGUUCCUAUGAGAUAUUGUAGGGUUUUGAUUUCUAGAAGUCUCCAGAAACAAAGAGAUCUUCAUCUUUUGCAGAUAUCACCCUGGCUGAAGGUGAAAGUGUCUCUAGAGUCUAUUGCAGUGUCUGUACAUGGCAGUCACUUAACAAUUAUUAAAUGCAUAUGAGAGAGUGGCUUCCAAGUGGAUGGGGUGCCCUGUCUUCCUAACAAGUCUCUUCCAUCCAUGCCACUGCUCUGGAGUCUGCACCACCUCUUUGGGGCAAUUGCUCCCCAAUUGUGACUUCUAAAGUAGAUUUGCUAGAGCUGAGAGCAUUCAGUGUGCCAAGCCCUUGCCAUCGUUACCCAAAUGAUAAUCCAGCCUUUCCUACCAAUUUUCUCUCCUCGAGUUCUGGUCCACUCCAACCUGACCCACCCAAUAUAAAAUUGUUGUUUUAUGACUUUGAUGAUUUCUCAUUGUAUUCUAGGUAUGCAAUUGUAAAAUGAUGUUGCACAGUUUUUAGUCUGGGCAGUUUCUGAGUCAUUUUUAUGCACAAGUGACAGCAUAUUUAAAACUCAUAGUAUUAUGUAAAUUCUUUUUUUUUCCAGGUCAUACCAGCUGAGUCAUGGUUUGGACAAAAAGAAGUAGUUUAGCAUAGUCAAAAGAAUACAAGUUUAAUCCUGGGCCCUUCCCUUUCUAGCUACGUGAUCUUAGGGUACAUCCUAAAUCCAAUGGUAAAAGUCCUUGUAAUGAACAGAAAAGGAGAAGACAUGGAG
Long non-coding RNA from Equus asinus (donkey), 3166 nucleotides. Lineage: Eukaryota; Metazoa; Chordata; Mammalia; Perissodactyla; Equidae. The record is from Ensembl.